AGUACUUCCUUCCGCGUCUCAAGAGUUAGUUUUUUACAUCUGUAAAUAAAGAUGAACAAAGCAACUGUUUUCAUUCCUCGUCCGGACAUAUUUAAAGACGGAAGAGCAUGUGAGAUGCUUAUAAUGAAGAGGAGUAACACAAUCCACUGUAUCGCUGAUUUACGAUGGCAGUGGAAUGCAGAUUUGGACAAGGCACGACACUAUGAAAGAGUUCCCGUGUUUCCCUUGUGGGCGGAGUUGUGAGACGUGCACAGCUGUUUCCAAUCUUCCUGAUACUACUUAAGCGACACCUUAACAGCUGGAUGACACUCGGCGAUUCCACUCCUCGACUCUCCACAUCAGAUGUUUCCUAUGCUUCCCGAGUUUUUUUAUGCUUACCUUUUUGGCUUUUCCCAGUGCCAUCCAGCUUGGUGUUGUGUGGUAGUUUGCACGUCUUGCAAUUCCAAUCCAAGUCUAGUUAUUUUUGUAUAUUAGCUUUUGUUCUGUUUUCCACGGUGAUCAUUUUGUUUUCUCUCUUUCGCACCGUCGCCUUCUGUUAUCUCCUGUUUGCAAUCAUUGUUGUGAGUACUUUUCCAUAAGUAAAAGAAGUGUUUUACUCACCGUCCGUCUGCAUCCUCGGGUUCCUCUCUACUGCAUUUAAUUGCAUUGUGACAGAGCAUGUACAGUCAACAUAAAAUGCGUGAUUAAUCUGUUUUUAUACAUGACUAAUGUUAUUUAUAGUUUGUGAUUAAUCACGAGUUAACUCGUUGCAUUUGACAGAUCUGAUAAAAACACACAUACAUACAAUUCCAAACAUCAAAAGAGACACACACCUAUGAUUUCAGUAGCAGAAAUUAAAAUGUGUAUUAUUUUGCUGCAUGCUUUGAAUGGGAAAAAGUAGCACUUGUUGACAAAAAAGAUAGCAUUAGUUAAACAACGCCUUUUUUAAAGGAACACAUUGGCUGGUUUUGAGUUUUGUGUUUUCAUUUUAGACUGAAGAAUAUAAAGUAUAUCAAUAAAUAACAAUAUUCAACAUUUCUUUAUGAUCUAAAAUGAUUUAAAAAUAAUACGAAAUUUAUCUGAAACUCUUUAAUGUUUAUAGUGUGUGUUGAUUCAUUGCAUGUAUGUAUUUGUGUGUCACUGCUACAGCUUCCUUCUAUAUGUCCUACUGGGACAGUUUAGCCAGCUCUAUCGCUGUCCAAAGUGUCAAUUUGAAACUGAUCUGUUCUGACUCGGACCCUGUUGCCCUGUGAGCCGCCUGUCAGCUGUCAACUGUCAGAACGU
Entelurus aequoreus (snake pipefish) is the source of this 1263-nucleotide long non-coding RNA. RefSeq lists it as uncharacterized. The record is from RefSeq and is a predicted model, not a curated record. Lineage: Eukaryota; Metazoa; Chordata; Actinopteri; Syngnathiformes; Syngnathidae. The transcript has 3 exons.